GCAAGCUCUGGUCGCAGCCUCUGGAAAACUGAACAGGAGGGAGAGGUGGCCUUGACCCCAUCCAGUUCCUCACACACUACCCUCAAGGAUGUGGCUAGGAUGAUAACAUCCAUCCCCAGUGCCACCUCCAAAGGGACACUGCCAGGGUUUAGUUCCAGGAGCAUCAGAACCACGGGUCAGCUUAGGUGAAUGACUAGGGGGAUGAGGGCUGGGGAUCUGGUGUGCCAGAGUCUCUUCCCCUCUCACCCUGCUGGCUCACUCCCUGGUUUUCUGGUCCAUUCCUCCAGCCGCUGCCAGUCCUGAUUCACUCUCUGACCCAGAACCACACCUGGGGAACCACGUGCGUCUUUGGGGAUUAUAUGAUUGGGUAGGGACGGAGCCUGGUCAUAAAGUGAUAAGGGAAACUGAGGUCUUAUCAUAUCGGGAGGCCAGGAGAAAACUGGAAAGAUCAGGUUCAAACACUGAAAGCCUGUCAUUUGGAAAAUGAAUGGGAGAAGAAAACAGCAAGCCACUCACCCAGGGCCACAAAGCUAACAAGUGCGGGAGAGGAAUUCAAGCCCAUUUCUUUCCGACUUCAAAGUCUGUUCUCUUUCCACUACUCUAUUCUCUUUUUAUGGCUGAAGGCAGUCCCUUUCUUCUUCCCUUCCUUCUUAAGAUCAACAGGAAGACACACUGUUGUACUGCCAGAGGUGUCCAAAAGGGGGAUUCAUUGCCUGGGGUGGUGGUGAGUUCCCCACUCAGGGAGAUGUUCAAGUAGAGGCCACUUGCUCGUGUUGUUAGAGGGGAUCCAGGUUAAGAGAAGGUGGUUUCCACUACUGGUUGCAUAUGACAAUCACCUGUGUUUGUUCAUAGGCCAGAUUCCCAGUCCCCCGUCUAGUCCCCUGGGUCUCAGGUGCAGCUCAGUUAUAGCUAAUUUUUCAAAGCACCUUUGGGGACUCCAAUGCAGCUUUUGGGAAUCGUUGGGGUCUCCUUCAACUCUGAGAUACUAUGACCAUAGUGACCGUGGUCUAAGAGAGGGCCAGCUGUGGGGUGUCAGUGCUGGUGUUAACGGCGACAACUAUACUAGCUAAGCGUUGAGUGUUUACUCUGGUCCAGGGCUGGUGCAUUACUUCAUUAAGUACCCCACGAGGCAGGCACUACCUUCAUGCCCAUUUCACAGAUCAGGAAGAUUAAGUUUCCCGCCCAAGGCCACACCACAAGUGGGUGGAGGAGCUGGGCUGUGAGUUCAGGCAGGCUGGCUCUAGAUCUUCUCCUCUUAAUCAGAGGAGAAGUCACAAAAUGUGACCUGAUCCAAAGCCAUCCAGUCCACAGGUUCCAUCCAGUCCGCAGGUUCUGAAUAAAACCCACCAGCAGCUAAUCUCCCAAAUCACAAAAAUUCCACAGCACAGAAAUGACCAAGAGAGUGAAAUAGACUCUCAGACUAUGAAAUGACUAUAACAGCUAAAAGUGUUGCAAAACUCUCAACGUAUAAAUUAUAGGCAUUUCUUUGGUCUUUGGUGUUGUAUUCGACUUUUAACAUUUAAACUUUUCAACACAGCACGAGUGCACCCCAGUAAUUCCUACUGCUAUUCCUUCACUCAAAAACAAAACGUGCUCCUUAAAAAUGGUUUUAUUGGGUCCUGGAAUGUUCAAACAAAAUGACAUUAAGUAUAUUGACACGGUUAAAACAUUAACCCUAGUGAAACUCCUGAUGUGCUAAUUCAACAGAGCCUGCCCAAGCCUUUCUGGGAAAAGCUGGGUCACCUGCUGUACCUUGGCCAAAUCCUCACCCACCACGUGGCCUGGAGGCCAGCUUUAGCACCAGGAGUGCGACUUUAGUGCAGGGACUUUCUCAACCAAAUAUGUUCUAUUUCCUCCCUCAGGGUCAUCUCAGUCUUAGGAGAGUCAAGGGCAAAAAAAGGAGAUGUGAUGUCUAUACUCUGAGUGCUGAACUCACAGGGGACUUUCCAGGUUACAUGCCCUAUUAAACUAACCCUCUCAUUAAAGUUGACUCUGGGGAAAACUUUGGGAGGAACAGAGGAGGUCUUCUUACUGCCAAGCUCCUCUCCCCGCAGCAUGGCUAAUUACCCUUGUUCUUGCUUCCAGCCUAAGGUCCUUAAGCUAUUCUUGCUUUUUUUUUUUUUAUUUUUCUUUGUGGUACGCGGGCCUCUCACUGUUGUGGCCUCUCCCGUUGCAGAGCACAGGUUCCGGACGCGCAGGCUCAGCGGCCAUGGCUCACGGGCCCAGCCGCUCCGAGGCAUGUGGGAUCUUCCCGGACCGGGGCACGAACCCGCGUCCCCUGCAUCGGCAGGCGGAUUUUCAACCACUGCGCCACCAGGGAAGCCCCUAUUCUUGCUUUUUAAUGAUCCUCUCUCUCAAAGUUCCUAGCGCUUUGUGAGAAAGGUUAAAACUCACUGGAAAGAGUUGUAACAGCUUGAAUGGAGUCAACCAGUCGGAGACGUCUGGGACUUUCCCCUCUGCCUAAGGAAGCUCAAUUUAUCCUGGGGCUGGGAAGAGGCAGAGCCGAGGUCACCUUUUCAGACCCAGAAAUCACCUGGGAAACCAAGUCACAACCUCUCACCAGGCUCCUGCUCAAUCGGGGUGACCUUUGGAGAGGCUCCUCAGCUGACAUCCACGAGGUGUGGCUGAGAUCAGUGUGUCUCAAACUCUUCACUGCGGGCACUGAGGUGCUGCCGAGCUAGCGGAAGGAAUAAGAGAUCUCUUCUCCCACCUAUCCAUCCCUGUCGAUGUUCAAAUUCUAUGUAGGAUUUCACUGGACAAAAUUGGGUGACUUUCAAGGUCCCUUCCAGACCUAACAUUCUAUCAUUCUGAGACUCUAUUUCCCACUGAAAUAGACAGCUGUCUCCCCAGCCCAUGCUGAUCUGAGGACUGCUAAAGGGUGGACACCUCUUCCCUGGAGUCCUGGGGGUAUAAGUCUGUCCCUGCCAAGUGACUAGGAAGAUGCUUCAUUUUCUGCACAUCCUGGCAUCACACGGGACCCUCAAAGUCCCUGGAAUUCUGCCAAGUGCCUAUGAAAACCAAGCCAGAUGCAGACAGCUGGGGUCUGGGUGGAAAAGCCACUUCAAGCAGCAUACCCCAGGCUGGGCGCCUCAGGGCACUGGCUGAUUUGUGAUGGAAUUAAAGACGUUUUCCAAAAUUUCAGCUAUGGCCCCAGAAUGUUCCAAGCCCAUGAGAAGGUCAUGUGAAAUUGGUGAGGGUUGGGCAUAACCUGAUAAGAGUGGAUGUUCUCUAGUCUGAAGCCUUGGAGUCAGAAAGCUCUGAGUUCAUAAUUCUGAUGCCCCUCAUUCCAGCUCUGUGGCCUUGAGCACAUGAUUUCAUCUUUCUGAACCUCAGCUUUUUCAUAGGUCCAAUGGACAAUGAGACAGUUUGGCACAGUGUCUGGCACUGUAAAUGUUCUUACCAGGUCAAUGCCUGGGCUGCCUUAAAAUGUGAUGACUAAUAAAAUAAGCCAAAAAAUUAAGGGGCUCAAAGUUACCCAGCUGUGUGGAUGGAUACCCAUUGCUUAAGGUAUCAGAUCAAUUCUCUUUCUACGUGGGCUUCUCUGCCUAAAGUCCCAGGCUCCCCAUAACACGUGACACAGAUUCAAAUGUUUCUAGCUAUUCCCAGGGGCCUGAUUCACUCUUUGCACCCAGAAACUGGAAAGCGUGUGUAUUGUUCAGAAGAUCAAGGCUAACCAUCCCCCAAGUCCCCCACCCUCACUCCUGUGACUCAGGGCGAGACAACCGCCUAAUAAAUCAAGGCCCGUUAUGAGCUCCUUCAAGCUGAUUCACGCACAUAGCUCCUUGGCUCCUACCUGGGCAGAGAAAAGACAAGACUGAGAAUUCCCUGGACCUUGCCCUCCCAGGACGUGAUAAAAACCUGACACGUGAGAACUUGCCGUGAUCUGUGGUUCUCCAGUGUGCCAUGAGAGAUGGAGGGACCACUUAUAAUGUUACUCACUACAGAGCAGAACUGGCAGAAAGAAGGGUGCUUCCUGACGUUCCCCGGGGAUGUGACAUGACCAGUGACCCUAUCACCCCCCAAUCCUACUCAAAGCCCCCAAACAAUAUCAUAGACUUCUAGGGCUUCGUGCUGUGUGGUCUUUAUGCGUUAAACAUACAAUUAAACGAGUAAAACUUUAGUAAGGAAGGUACUGGGGGAGGGGAGAAUACAUUGAUGAAUAAGACAAUAAGAGAACAGUGGAGCAGAUGGAACAGAUGUGGAGGGAGAAGAAAACGUCCAUCAAUUUCACCUACCAUGUGCCCGGAACCAUUCAGGUCCUUUACAGCAGCGAUCCUCAACCUUUUUGGCACCAGGGACCGGUUUCGUGGAAGACAAUUUUUCCACGGAAGGGGGGUGGUUGGGCGAGGGGAGGGUUGGUUUCGGGAAGAUUCGUGGGCAUCACGUUUAUGGUGCACUUUAUGUCUAUUAUUAUUACAUUGUAAUAUAUAAGAAAAUAACUAUACAACUCACCAUAAUGCAGAAUCAGUGGGAACCCUGAGCUUGUUUUCACUUGCCACUCACUGAUAGGGCUGUGAUAUGAGUCUGCGAGCAACUGAUUUAUUAUGGUGUCUGUGCAGUCAAACCUCUCUGCUGAUGAUAAUCUGUAUUUGCAGCCGCUCCCCAGCGCUAGCAUCACCCCUCAGCUCUACCUCAGAUCAUCAGGCAUUAGAUUCUCAUAAGGAGCGCGCAACCUAGAUCCCUCGCAUGCACGGUACACAGUAGGGUUCGAGCUCCUAUGAGAACCUAAUGCCGCCGCUGAUCUGACAGGAGGCGGAGCUCAGGCGGUAAUGCGAGUGAUGGGGAACGGCUGUAAAUACAGAUGAAGCUUUGCCUGCGGGCGCUCGUUCACCUCCUGCUGUGUGGCCCAGUUCCUAACAGGCCACAGACCGCUACCUGUCCGCGGCCUGGGGGUUGGGGACCCCUGCUUUACAGGAAAGGCGGGAAGGUGAAGCAGUAAGAGUGUGGAUCUGGGACCCAGCCUGCCCACAUUCACAUCCCAGCACAUGGUCACUUGGACGAGUUAUGUGACCUCUCGGUGCUUCGGAGGUAAUAAAAGAACCUCUCCCACAGGACUUCAUGAGGAUGAAACAAAUUCAUAUAUGCUGGCGCUCUCACUACAGAGCCUGGAAAAAACAGUGGAAGCCAACGUGCUUUAGCACUGGAACUCACCCACAGCAACGCUCUCUCCAUCAACACCUCCCUCCAGCAUUUCCCUGGCACAGCUGAGCAUGGGACAGAAGCCUCCCCCAGGCCUGCCAAGUUCCUCCUAGCAGAGUCCCACCCCAGAAUUCUGCCCAGAAGUAGCAUCUGAAACAGAGGGAGAGCUGUUGGGAGACCUCAUUUCCUGAUGUUUAGAAGCCCUUGGGAAUAUGUGAAGGCCCUUCCUGCAGGACCAGUCCGGGACCAGACUCUUAUUAAGCAUGCAAAGACAGAUGCCAAUGUUGAUUGCCCUAAGGGGUUUCUGGCAGAGGAGACAUACUUAUGGUUCAGGGUUUGCUGGGAGCUAGGAGCAAGCUCAAGUGCUGGCUGGCCAGGCCUGGCACGGCCUUAAGCACCUAAUUGCUUCCCUAGACAGUCUGCUGUGGCAGCUGUUGGGAUAAGCCCCAGGGCACCGUGAGGUUUGGGUGCUUCUGGUGUCAACCAUUUAAUGAAGGGUGUCUCGGGCCUAGUAAGGUUUUCAACCUUGCAAGCUCCAGACACCUAACUGCUGUACAGACAAGCGCAAGAAGUACACGGACAGUCCAUCCUGCCGCUGCGUUUCCUUAGGCAACGUGAUGGCCACGGGCGGAAGACAGCACGUAGCGGGCGUUAGGGGCCCAGCAAAGUGUGGGAAAUUCAAGUCCUGGCCCCGCUAGUGCCUCACUUGUGACCUGGGGCAGGUGACUUCUCUCUUUAAGCCUGUAUUUUCUCAACCGUAAAUCAGGGGGCAGUGAUUGUUCCCAUCUCACGGGAUCUAGGUGUUAGAUUAUCCAUGUAAAGUGAUAACAUAGUAGCUAAGUACCCGAUACAUCUUGGACAUUUUUAGUAUUAUUAUCAUUAUUAUUGACACAUCUGAGAGGAACAGCUCAACAACGCCCAAGGAAAUGUCCCUUCACAGCCAUAGCCCAUUUGAUGGACAGGAUCCGCAAGCAAGGCUUGUCAAAAUGAAAACGAAAGCAGAUUGAAGCAACUGCUGUGUUGAUGGGAAUUCUCUGUCUUCUCAAGAACAGCAUGAAGAUUUUUUUUUUUUUCUGAUCCUAAGAUGCAUAAAUGCAAGAAACUCCUCUCCUUAGAGAAAUUCACCAGAUGGAAUUCUUUCCCAAGGAAUUUCAGAAUCUAUCAAUGUAGCACAAACGGGGUCAGGUGUUAACCCUGUAUCAACUGUCAUCACAAACUGUCAUCACAUUCUUGAUGGCCCCGAAGGCCCAGUCAGCCCGAGUUUCACUGAUGUUUUAUUAGCUACAGGAAUUGCAUUUCAGAACAUGUUUUGAAGGGAAAUGUCAUGAGCUUAUCUUUCCAGGGACCAAGGCAGCAGUGAAAGAAUCAGCUCAUGACUCGUGUUACAUCCUUCAUCUAAGUGUAUUUCCCUCUGCUAUUGACGUGCUCCCGGAGGAGUUUUGGGAAAGUGUGAGCAUUCAUCCCUACUACAUCACGAAAACUCAGCACACCUGUAAUUUCACAGCUGCCUGCAGUUUCAACAGUGACGGAAAUGUUUGUGUUGGCCUCUCCACGCAGUUUGGAAAUAGCAGCAAAAAGUGGAGGAGUUACUUCUGGGUACCAAAAAUAAAGUUACAAGCCUGUGAAAAUGAAUCCCUGUGACUUAAUGAAAUCUGUGGCUUAAAAGUGUGUUUGCUAAGAAAAUUGAAGUUAGAUGCCUUCUUUAAACAGAACCAAAGGGGGUAAAUGGAUGAAUAAAUGAAUGACUGUUUACUUGCGGUAUUUAUCAUUGGUGGAAAUUAUAAUUUCUCAAAUACUUGAAACUAUGGGAAUUUUCUACCAAAGAGACUUUGUAAAUUUAAAAGUAUAAUUAAUAAUAAAUAUUAAAGAUGAUGCAUCUUAGCAGGCAGAUCAUUUUACACCCACCUGACCCCAUGUUCUCUCCCAUCAGAUCCCCCAUCCCCAUUCCUUUGCAAAAACAGUCAAGUUAUGAGGAUGGACUUGGGUGGGGGUUAGAGUUCCUGGGUCUGAACCCAGCUGUUACUUAACUAUCUGUGUGAUCUUG
Molecule: long non-coding RNA, 7183 nt
Organism: Orcinus orca (killer whale)
Lineage: Eukaryota; Metazoa; Chordata; Mammalia; Artiodactyla; Delphinidae
Exons: 3
Source: RefSeq, a predicted model, not a curated record